RNAcentral lists this long non-coding RNA (3449 nucleotides) under Canis lupus familiaris (dog). RNAcentral describes it as "lncRNA (ENSCAFG00000056845.1)". Lineage: Eukaryota; Metazoa; Chordata; Mammalia; Carnivora; Canidae. The record is from RNAcentral.
UUUUUUUUUUUUUUCCUUUUUCUUUUUCUAUUUCUGUCCCUCUUGUUUACUUAGAUUGGGAUGUAUAUGUGUUUGAGAACUAUCUUUGCUUCUUCAGAAUAAUAUGGGCCUAGGCAAGGAACCAACUGCAUUCUGGCACCUUUACUCUCUGAGAUCUCAUGUGAUUUUAGGAUAAGGGCAUUAGUGGGGAAGUACAUUCUGGAAUAAGAAUCCUUCAAAUUCUUGCAGAGGAAGUAGGCAGCGUACGCAGGAUAAGUGCACAUAUAAUAAACCAAUAUUUGGAGGAACAUUGGUGUCUGAGUCAGAAGAUCUGGUUGAAAUCCCAGUACAAUUACUGUGGAAUGUUGUACGAGUCAGGUCGUCUCUCGAGCUUCAGUAUUCUCAUCUGUGAGGUGCAGAGUAGAGACAAGGGUUUUAGAGGAAAAGAGUAAACUGAAGUGCUUUCCCCCUUGAAGACAACGCUGUUAAUCCAGUGCUGGGCCAGGUAUGGCAGGAAUAGAUUGUUCAGUGUUACGAUGGAGCAGCAGCCUGAGCAGGUUGGGGGCUCAUCAGCAUUGAGACCCUACUGGUACAAUUUAUCAGGUAAAUGGCCCUACUGGAGAGAGUGCUUGGAUUAUCAGAAGGAAAUAAAUCCUGAAGUCCUCAACCUACUUAUGUUCCCCUGCCAUUAAAUCUGGAGAAAAUAAAUGUCCUGUGCAGGAAGGUUUACUGAUUCCUAAGGACAGCUACUGGCUUUAACAAUCCCCCGGUACCUGUUUGUUGGGUCUGCCCAUUCAGGGCUGUAGAAGAGGUCAGGGUCAGCCUAUGGAGGACACUGAGAAAUAAGGCUGACUCUUGGUCCAGGACAGGUGCAGGCUGCCUCACCAGCCAUAGCCAGCAGGAGGAAAGGCUGGGCCCGAGUCGACACAAUUUCAGUGGUGACAAUAGCUACUAUGUGACCUGUGCAGAAGGGCCCUGCCCUCAGUUUAAUGUACUGCUCCUGUUGUGUUGGAAUCUGUAAUGAUUUUUGAACAAGGGGCUGCGAUUUUCCUCUUGUAUUGGGCCGUGCAGAUGAUGUGGCCAGUUCUAUAGAUAAGACAAGAGGAAUAAGCACCUACAUUCUCCAGUAUAUUCUAAUCUUGUCAGUGAGUCAAGCACCAUAUAGGAAGAAUUUGGGUUGAGGAAGAAAAAGACAGGGAAAGAGGAAGAUGAAGAUGAGGAAAUUGACUAUUGAACUCAUAUGUUACUUCUUCCAUAAGACUGCCCAAGACUGCCUAUUUAAAAUUGUAAUCUGCUCCCCACAACCUCUCUCCUGAUCCACAUUUCUCAGCACUCGUUAGAAAAAUUUUCAAUAGUAUUUACUACCUGCUUUACUUGUUUAGUGUGUUUAUUACUUUAUUGUCUGUCUUGUCCUCCCAGAACCUGAGUUCCAAGAGGACAGGAAACUUGAGCUGUUUUAGUCAAUAUUAUAUGCAAAUUACCUAAUGAUUCCUGGCAUGCUGAGGGCCCUCAGUGGAUUUUCCAUAAAUGAAAGCAUGGAUCACACACCUAACAUGUGCUAAGACCCGCACUAGGCCAGUUACAUGGUUUAUCUCAUCUAAUCCUAACGGGAUCUGGUCACUUGUUUAUUAUGUAUAGGAGCUGAGUUGGGCUCAUAUAAAUAGGUUAGGGGAUCCACCCUCAAUUUCUAAUUUAUAUAUUAGCAAUUUAGAGGUACUUCUUUGUAAUGAAGAACCUGAGGCUCAGAGAGAUUGAAUCAUUUGCCAAAUGCUAAUUUAGAGGAAAACCAUCCUCUUCCAGAAGUAGAUUAGAGUCCAAAGGAGAAUAAAAGCAGAGAGGGUGAGGAGGAGGAAGCGGGGAGUGAAAUGGGGGAGACAGGAAACAGAGGGUUUGGCAUGUUGGAGAAACCAUACUGAGAGGCUUGCUUUGGGAAAAGGAAGCUCAGGAAAUGGAGGUGAACAGGAAAGUUUCCAGAAAUCAUCUUAAGAGUUCAGGAAAUGUGAGCAUCCGUGAGAUGCAGCCCUUAUAUCUGGAAGUAAUGACUUCCCACUGAACUUUACCCAGUCUCUGGAUGAUCCAGGACAUAUGUCUACUUGACUUCUCUGAGCCAGGAAGCUGUGUUUAAAUCAAGAGUCCUAAGCUUGGACUCAGGAGCCUCAAAGUCCUGUCCUUGCCACUCUAAGUAUGGUCUUGGGCACCUGCCCAAUGCCACCUUACUGCUCUGAACCUCACCAUAAAUGGGGUACACAUUUACAAGUACCACACUGUGGUACUGCUUGCAAAACACACAAUCAUAAAAGCAGCCUUGGAGGAUACAGCUGGAGAAAUCAUCUAACUCAGAGUCAAAACUUCUCCCCCCACCAACUCAACAUGAGCUGUGUAGCCUUAGGCAAACCUCUCAACCUCUCUGAGCCUCAAUUUCUUUGCCUGCAAACCACAAAGCCUUCAGUAAAGACACCAGAUAGCUAAUACGGGGAGAAACAUGGCUGGAAUGUGGAUUGAAUUUCUUUUUUUUUUUUUUAUAAAUUUUUAUUUAUUUAUGAUAGUCACACAGAGAGAGAGAGAGAGAGAGACAGGCAGAGACACAGGCAGAGGGAGAAGCAGGCUCCAUGCACCCGGAGCCUGACGUGGGAUUCGAUCCCGGGUCUCCAGGAUCACGCCCUGGGCCAAAGGCAGGCACCAAACCGCUGCGCCACCCAGGGAUCCCCUUUCUAACCCUACCCCAUUAGAACAAAGUUUUAGCCAACUCCGCAAAUUUCACUCACAAUCUGCGCCUGGACCUGCAGAGGCUCAAAUCUUACAACCAAAGCAUAUAAUCAGUUCUCCACUCUUUCAUAAAAUCUUUUGCCUGUGAAAGUCACAAAAUGUGCCUGAUCUUCAGUCCCACCUUUGCUUAACUCUUGCUGAUUCUUUCUGCCCAGGGAGUGCAUCAGAUCAUGGAGGCAGAGUAGAAUGUUAGAGGUCCACAGGAGAUCUAGUAUGCUUUUCCAAUUCAAUUGCAAGAGGCAGUCCAGUUCUCUGUAUAUGAAAAGUAGGCAAGUUAUUGCAAAUGUCUAGUCAAUUCCAAAUGUCACCAGCUACCAGUAAACAACAAAACGCCGGCUACAUUCAGGACUGGAUCAUUUAAAACAUAAUUAUAAUAAAUGAUUUAAAGGAGCUCUUUUAAUUACCACUACGUAUCAAAGGCUCAGGAAGGCAUUCCAGAAGAAUUGUUUUCUAUUGUAACUGCAUAAAUUUAAAUGCCAUUAAUUUCAUAUCUGUCAUUCACUUCUCUUCUACUACAUUGAUCUCUGUACCAGGGAACUCAAUGCCUCCCAUUUCAUUUGGGGAUUUCAUGGUUUCUACAGAGGAAGAGCUUUUUUUUUAGUAUUUCAGUUUCCAAGUGCCAUUUCCAUUCCAAAGUAUAAGUCUAUAGACCACAUGAAAGCUAAAAAAACAAAAAAAAAAAAAAAAAAAAAAAAAAAAAAAAA